UGGGGAAUAUUGCACAAUGGGCGCAAGCCUGAUGCAGCCAUGCCGCGUGUGUGAAGAAGGCCUUCGGGUUGUAAAGCACUUUCAGCGAGGAGGAAGGUGGUGAGCUUAAUACGCUCAUCAAUUGACGUUACUCGCAGAAGAAGCACCGGCUAACUCCGUGCCAGCAGCCGCGGUAAUACGGAGGGUGCAAGCGUUAAUCGGAAUUACUGGGCGUAAAGCGCACGCAGGCGGUUUGUUAAGUCAGAUGUGAAAUCCCCGGGCUCAACCUGGGAACUGCAUUUGAAACUGGCAAGCUAGAGUCUCGUAGAGGGGGGUAGAAUUCCAGGUGUAGCGGUGAAAUGCGUAGAGAUCUGGAGGAAUACCGGUGGCGAAGGCGGCCCCCUGGACGAAGACUGACGCUCAGGUGCGAAAGCGUGGGGCAGCAAACAGGAUUAGAUACCCUGGUAGUCCAGCGCUGUAAACGAUGUCGAUUUGGAGGUUGUGCCCUUGAGGCGUGGCUUCCGGAGCUAACGCGUUAAAUCGACCGCCUGGGGAGUACGGCCGCAAGGUUAAAACUUAAAUGAAUUGAC
This 569-nucleotide ribosomal RNA is filed under the name uncultured bacterium. RNAcentral's name for it is "partial 16S ribosomal RNA". It matches the Rfam family "Bacterial small subunit ribosomal RNA", at positions 355 to 914 of the family's 1533-position model. The record is from RNAcentral.